GGGUCGAUGAAGAACGCAGCCAGCUGCGUGAAUUAAUGUGAAUUGCAGGACACAUUGAACAUCGAUAUCUUGAACGCACAUUGCAGCUUCGGGUCACUCCCGGAGCAACGCCUGUCUGAGGGUCGGUUAAAUAACCAUCGCAAAAUGUAUUUUUUGCGCAUAGUGGCGUUCGUGGUGUUGAAAGCUUGCCUUUCACAACGUCGCCCUAAGUAUUUGAUCGAUUCGGUUGUCUCUUUCUAGCAGUGCCCAUCUGCCAGAGAGACGUAGCUCGGUGGUUAUUCUAUCGAGUGUUUACGCUCUUCUGUGCAUGCUCGUUUUGGAUGCUUGCGAAAAAAAGUAAGACACCGACAGGUCAACGGAAACAAAAAUGAGGUAGCUUGUCGCUUGGCGUGGCGGCAGUACCGAAAAAUCUCAUUUCAUUCAUCCGACCUCAGAUCAGACGAGAUUACCCGCUGAAUUUAAGCAUAUCACUAAGCGGAGGAAAAGAAACUAACAAGGAUUCUCCUAGUAACGGCGAGUGAAGCGGGAAGAGC
This 533-nucleotide ribosomal RNA is filed under the name Anadara broughtonii. RNAcentral describes it as "eukaryotic LSU rRNA". The stretch from base 426 to 533 matches the Rfam family "Eukaryotic large subunit ribosomal RNA", at positions 1 to 108 of the family's 3401-position model. Lineage: Eukaryota; Metazoa; Mollusca; Bivalvia; Arcoida; Arcidae. The record is from RNAcentral.